GACGAACGCUGGCGGCGUGCUUAACACAUGCAAGUCGAACGGAAAGGCCCUGCUUUUGUGGGGUGCUCGAGUGGCGAACGGGUGAGUAACACGUGAGUAACCUGCCCUUGACUUUGGGAUAACUUCAGGAAACUGGGGCUAAUACCGGAUAGGAGCUCCUGCUGCAUGGUGGGGGUUGGAAAGUUUCGGCGGUUGGGGAUGGACUCGCGGCUUAUCAGCUUGUUGGGGGGGUAGUGGCUUACCAAGGCUUUGACGGGUAGCCGGCCUGAGAGGGUGACCGGCCACAUUGGGACUGAGAUACGGCCCAGACUCCUACGGGAGGCAGCAGUGGGGAAUAUUGCACAAUGGGCUGAAGCCUGAUGCAGCAACGCCGCGUGCGGGAUGACGGCAUUCGGGUUGUAAUCCGCUUUCGCCUGUGACGAAGCGUGAGUGACGGUAAUGGGUAAAGAAGCACCGGCUAACUACGUG
This 468-nucleotide ribosomal RNA is filed under the name uncultured bacterium. RNAcentral's name for it is "partial 16S ribosomal RNA". It matches the Rfam family "Bacterial small subunit ribosomal RNA", at positions 28 to 507 of the family's 1533-position model. The record is from RNAcentral.